UACGUAGGGUGCAAGCGUUGUCCGGAAUUAUUGGGCGUAAAGAGCUCGUAGGCGGUUUGUCGCGUCUGCUGUGAAAACUCGGGGCUUAACCCCCGGGCCUGCAGUGGGUACGGGGCAGACUAGAGUGCGGUAGGGGGAGACUGGAAUUCCUGGUGUAGCGGUGAAAUGCGCAGAUAUCAGGAGGAACACCGGUGGCGAAGGC
Molecule: ribosomal RNA, 202 nt
Filed under: uncultured bacterium
Lineage: Bacteria
Description: partial 16S ribosomal RNA
Rfam family: Bacterial small subunit ribosomal RNA
Source: RNAcentral